UACGGAGGAUGCGAGCGUUAUCCGGAUUUAUUGGGUUUAAAGGGUGCGUAGGCGGUCGGAUAAGUUAGAGGUGAAAUCCCGGGGCUCAACUUCGGAAUUGCCUCUGAUACUGUUCGGCUAGAGAGUAGUUGCGGUAGGCGGAAUGUAUGGUGUAGCGGUGAAAUGCUUAGAGAUCAUACAGAACACCGAUUGCGAAGGCAGCUUACCAAGCUACUUCUGACGUUGAGGCACGAAAGCGUGGGGAGCAAACAGG
This 253-nucleotide ribosomal RNA is filed under the name uncultured bacterium. RNAcentral's name for it is "partial 16S ribosomal RNA". It matches the Rfam family "Bacterial small subunit ribosomal RNA", at positions 524 to 776 of the family's 1533-position model. The record is from RNAcentral.